AGGGGGUAUUGCACCUACCGAAGACUAUCAAACUCCGAAUGCCGUCAUCUUAUACUUGGGAGUCAGACUGUGGGUGAUAAGAUUCAUAGUCGAAAGGGCAACAGCCCAGAUCGUCAGCUAAGGUCCCUAAAUGUAAGUUAAGUGGUAAAGGAUGUGGGAUUGCACAGACAACCAGGAUGUUGGCUUAGAAGCAGCCACUCAUUCAAAGAGUGCGUAAUAGCUCACUGGUCGAGUGAUCCUGCGCCGAAGAUUUCCGGGGCUAAAACUUACUACCGAAGCUACGGCAUCAGUAAUGAUGGGUAGGGGAGCUUCCCAUACGGGUUGAAGCAUGACCGUAAGGACAUGUGGACAGUAUGGGAGUGAGAAUGUUGGCAUGAGUAGCGAGAUGUGGGUGAGAAUCCCACAGGCCGUAAACCCAAGGUUUCCAGGGGAAGGUUCGUCCGCCCUGGGUUAGUCGGGACCUAAGCUGAGGCCGAAAGGCGUAGGUGAUGGACAACAGGUUGAUAUUCCUGUACUACCGAUAACCGUUUGAGAGAAGGGAUGACACAGUAGGAUAAGCUAAGCACACUGUUGGUUAUGUGUGCCCAAGCAUUGAGGCAGUCAAAGUAGGCAAAUCCGCUUUGAUAAUGCUGGGAUGUGAUGGGGAGCGAAAUUUAGUAGCGAAGUAGCUGAUUUCACACUGUCAAGAAAAGUCUCUAUCGAGGUUAAAGGUACCCGUACCGCAAACCGACACAGGUGGGUGAGGAGAGUAUCCUAAGGCCAGCGAGAGAACUGUUGUUAAGGAACUCGGCAAAAUGACCCCGUAACUUAGGGAUAAGGGGUGCCACCAUCAGGUGGCCGCAGAGAAUAGGCCCAAGCGACUGUUUACCAAAAACAUAGGUUUCUGCUAAGUCGCAAGACGAUGUAUAGGAGCUGACGCCUGCCCGGUGCUGGAAGGUUAAGGGGAUCUGUUAGAGCAAUCGAAGCAGUGAACUUAAGCCCCAGUAAACGGCGGCCGUAACUAUAACGGUCCUAAGGUAGCGAAAUUCCUUGUCGGGUAAGUUCCGACCCGCACGAAAGGCGUAACGAUUUGGGCACUGUCUCAACAACAGACUCGGUGAAAUUGUAAUUCCGGUGAAGAUGCCGGAUACCUGCGACAGGACGGAAAGACCCCAUGGAGCUUUACUGUAGCUUGACAUUGGGUCUUGGUACUACAUGUACAGGAUAGGUGGGAGGCUUUGAAACCAGGACGCCAGUUUUGGCGGAGCCAUCCUUGGGAUACCACCCUUGUAGUACUGGGACUCUAACCAUAGGCCAUGAAUCUGGUCUUGGGACACUGUCAGGUGGGCAGUUUGACUGGGGCGGUCGCCUCCCAAAAGGUAACGGAGGCGCUCAAAGGUUCUCUCAGUACGGUCGGAAAUCGUACGUAGAGUGUAAAGGCAAAAGAGAGCUUGAUUGCAAGACAUACAGGUCGAGCAAGGAUGAAAAUCGGACUUAGUGAUCCGGUGGUUCUGCGUGGAAGGGCCAUCGCUCAACGGAUAAAAGCUACCCUGGGGAUAACAGGCUUAUCUCCCCCAAGAGUCCACAUCGACGGGGAGGUUUGGCACCUCGAUGUCGGCUCAUCACAUCCUGGGGCUGUAGUAGGUCCCAAGGGUUGGGCUGUUCGCCCAUUAAAGUGGUACGCGAGCUGGG
Molecule: ribosomal RNA, 1671 nt
Filed under: Clostridioides difficile
Lineage: Bacteria; Bacillati; Bacillota; Clostridia; Peptostreptococcales; Peptostreptococcaceae
Description: bacterial LSU rRNA
Rfam family: Bacterial large subunit ribosomal RNA
Source: RNAcentral